GGCGUGCCUUUUGUAGAAUGAACCGGCGAGUUAUCUUUACAUGCGAGGUUAAGCAGACAAUGCGGAGCCGUAGCGAAAGCGAAUCUUAAUAGGGUGGCAAGUAUGUAGAGAUAGACCCGAAGCCGUAGUGAUCUAGUCAUGAGCAGGUUGAAGGCUGGGUGAAUCCAGCUGGAGGACCGAACCGACCCCCGUUGAAAAGUUGGCGGAUGACUUGUGAUUAGCGGAGAAAUUCCAAUCGAACACGGCGAUAGCUGGUUCUCCCCGAAAUAGCUUUAGGGCUAGCGUUGAACGAAUCUACCCGGAGGUAGAGCACUGAAAUCAUGCGGGCGGCAUCUCGCCGUACCAAAUGAUAUCAAACUCCGAAUGCCGGGCAAGAAUAUUCAGCAGUCAGACUGUGGGUGAUAAGGUCCAUGGUCAAAAGGGAAACAGCCCAGAUCAUCAGAUAAGGUCCCAAAAUUUACGCUAAGUGGAAAAGGAUGUGGAGACGCGCAAACAGCUAGGAGGUUGGCUCAGAAGCAGCCAUCCUUCAAAGAGUGCGUAACAGCUCACUAGUCGAGUAUCUCUGCGCCGAAAAUUAACCGGGGCUAAGCGUAAUACCGAAUCUAUGGAUUUAUACUUAGGUAUAAGUGGUAGGGGAGCGUUCCAUACAGCAUUGAAGGUAUACCGUAAGGAGUGCUGGAGCGUAUGGAAGUGAGAAUGCCGGUGUGAGUAGCGAGAUGUGGGUGAGAAUCCCACACACCGAAAAACCAAGGUUUCCAGGGGAAGGUUCGUCCGCCCUGGGUAAGUCGGGACCUAAGGCCAGGCCGAAAGGCGUAGUCGAUGGACAGCAGGUUGAUAUUCCUGCACCCGCGAGUAAAGUGAUGGAGUGACAGAUAGGGUUAACCCAAGUCCUGAAUGGAUUGGGCAAGGCAAGCAGGAGAGUGGCGUAGGCAAAUCCGCGCCGGAUACUCAAAGGCUUGACUCAAGCGAACGCGCGAGCAAGUAGUGAAGAGGGUGAUACCAGGUCUCAAGAAAAGCUUCUAGCGAUAAUUUACUAGCGGCCCGUACCAAAACCGACACAGGUGGUUGAGGCGAGUAGCCUAAGGUGAGCGAGAGAACUGUUGCCAAGGAACUCGGCAAAUUGACCCCGUACGUUAGCAAUAAGGGGUGCUCGAAAGAGCCGCAGUGAAUAGGCCCUAGCAACUGUUUAACUAAAACAUAGCUCUCUGCGAAGUCGCAAGACGAAGUAUAGGGGGUGACACCUGCCCGGUGCUGGAAGGUCAAGGGGAUUUGUCAGACGCAAGUCGAAGCAUUGAACCGAAGCCCCAGUGAACGGCGGCCGUAACUAUAACGGUCCUAAGGUAGCGAAAUUCCUUGUCAGGUAAGUU
RNAcentral lists this ribosomal RNA (1367 nucleotides) under metagenome. RNAcentral's name for it is "bacterial LSU rRNA". It matches the Rfam family "Bacterial large subunit ribosomal RNA", at positions 598 to 1982 of the family's 2925-position model. The record is from RNAcentral.